RNAcentral lists this transfer RNA (70 nucleotides) under Barbatula barbatula (stone loach). RNAcentral's name for it is "tRNA-Arg". It matches the Rfam family "tRNA". From Rfam's summary of the family: Transfer RNA (tRNA) molecules are approximately 80 nucleotides in length. Lineage: Eukaryota; Metazoa; Chordata; Actinopteri; Cypriniformes; Nemacheilidae. The record is from RNAcentral.
GGGGGGCUAGUCCAAUCUAAGACCUCUGAUUUCGGCUCAGAAGAUUGUGGUUUAAUUCCAUGGCCCCCUU